GACGAACGCUGGCGGCGCGCCUAACACAUGCAAGUCGAACGAGCGAGCGAGAGCUUGCUUUCUCAAGCGAGUGGCGAACGGGUGAGUAACGCGUGAGGAACCUGCCUCAAAGAGGGGGACAACAGUUGGAAACGACUGCUAAUACCGCAUAAGACCACAGGUCGGCGUCGACCCGAGGGAAAAGGAGCAAUCCGCGUUGAGAUGGCCUCGCGUCCGAUUAGCUGGUUGGUGGGGUAACGGCCCAACAAGGCAACGAUCGGUAGCCGGACUGAGAGGUUGAACCGACACAUUGGGACUGGGACACGGCCCAGAAUCCUACGGGAGGCAGCAGUGGGGAAUAUUGCACUAUGGGGUAAACCCUGAUGCAGCGACGCCGCGUGGAGGAAGAAGGUCUUCGGAUUGUAAACUCCUGUUGUUGAGGAAGAUAAUGACGGUACUCAACAAGGAAGUGACGGCUAACUACGUG
Molecule: ribosomal RNA, 466 nt
Filed under: uncultured bacterium
Lineage: Bacteria
Description: partial 16S ribosomal RNA
Rfam family: Bacterial small subunit ribosomal RNA
Source: RNAcentral